AUAACAAUCGUCCGGAGCAUAAGAACAAGCAGCUGUCUUACAUUGCCAUAAACAUCAUUGUUGCUACUAAUGCCGUCCUCUGUGUAUUAAAGAUGCAACAUCGCCAAUGUUUAUGCAUAAGACAACGUCGUGAACAUGCUGUUGACUCGGUUGGCCAGUAAAAUAAUUUCGCAUUUACCACAGCGCCGCAUGCACAUGGAAUACUGAUACAAACCACAGUUUAAGUAUGCUUGUGUGCCGCAGGGAAAAUGAAAAAAAUAAAUAAAUAAACUAAAUUGUAAAGAAAUGCAGUUGAGGUGCAGCUAAGUAUUCAAAACAUCAAGAUAACAACACGAAACACAAAGCGAUUUUAUUGCACUUAGCACACUAGAGAGUACUCAAGUACUACCGUGGAAUAUUUCUAUUUGAAUUCAUGAAAUACACACCUUCACGCAUUACUGCUCCUUAUUUGCGUGUACUUGUAUGCAGCUUGUGUUGUCUUUGUGUGACCUUUGAUUGCGGGUCGAUAUUUGCUUUACUAUGCCACGGCUCAAGGAUACACUUACAACAACAACAAUAAUAUUCCAAUUUCCAACACAAAAUAUUUCAGGCACCAAUUGUGUAAAUAUUAUGCAAAUUUGAUACGACUAAAUGAAUUUUUAUUGCAGCGAUGAAAAAGAAAGUGUCGCCAU
Bactrocera oleae (olive fruit fly) is the source of this 671-nucleotide non-coding RNA. The record is from RefSeq and is a predicted model, not a curated record. NCBI's taxonomy places the organism in Eukaryota, Metazoa, Arthropoda, Insecta, Diptera, Tephritidae.